Molecule: ribosomal RNA, 255 nt
Filed under: Candidatus Poseidoniales archaeon
Lineage: Archaea; Methanobacteriati; Thermoplasmatota; Candidatus Poseidoniia; Candidatus Poseidoniales
Also listed under: 1 other name
Description: Marine Group II euryarchaeote (marine metagenome) partial 16S ribosomal RNA
Rfam family: Archaeal small subunit ribosomal RNA
Source: RNAcentral
AAAUCUGGUUGAUCCUGCCAGAGGCGACCGCUUUUGGAGUUCGAUUAAGCCAUGCGAGUCGAGAGCCUUAGGGGCUCGGCAUACUGCUCAGUAACACGUGGAUAACCUGCCCUAUUGUCUGGAAUAACCUCGGGAAACUGAGAACAAGGCCGGAUAACCCACAAUGCCUGGAACGGUUUGUGGGUGAAGAUAGGAUGGGUCUGCGGCGUAUCAGGUCGUAGGGGGUGUAAUGGACCUCCUAGCCAUCGACGCGUA